Non-coding RNA from Homo sapiens (human), 148 nucleotides. It matches the Rfam family "Metazoan signal recognition particle RNA". From Rfam's summary of the family: The signal recognition particle (SRP) is a universally conserved ribonucleoprotein. It is involved in the co-translational targeting of proteins to membranes. The record is from Rfam. Lineage: Eukaryota; Metazoa; Chordata; Mammalia; Primates; Hominidae.
GCCAGGCGUGGUGGCGCAUGCCUGUAAUCCCAGCUACUUGGGAGGCUGAGGCAGGAGAAUCGCUUGAACCCAGGAGGCUGAAGUUGCGGUGAGCCGAGACUGCACCAUUGCACUCCAGCCUGGGUAGCAGAGCAAGACCCUGUCUCAA